This is a long non-coding RNA of Amphibalanus amphitrite, 2520 nucleotides long. RefSeq lists it as uncharacterized. The transcript is spliced from 2 exons. Lineage: Eukaryota; Metazoa; Arthropoda; Thecostraca; Balanomorpha; Balanidae. The record is from RefSeq and is a predicted model, not a curated record.
UCAUGCCUCCCACUCCCGAUGGAGGCCCCAAAUGUCGGACCCCCCUUUUUUGUAUCUGUCUGGGUGUCUGGGGCGCAUAGCGACACGGGACAGCCGGCUCGCUGGCCGGCUGCCCGUCCGGUCACGUGCUUGCGUCCCGACACCCACCAUAAAACCUAUGUUCUCUAAAUACACUCUCUCACUUCUCCUCUACCGACUGUGACGCCAACACCAUCCGCGGACCCCGGCUCCGACGAGGGCGGCCGAAAUGGCCGGCCCACAAUUGGUGCCAGCGGUGGUGGUUGGUUGUCGGUGGAGGACUUUUGGCUUCAGGUUCGUGCUUCUUGUGGCGGAACGAGUGCAGCGUCAAAUAAUACCCAAAGGACAUGCAUGCUUCUCGAUAUUCCCAAUUAAUUAACAGUAUACUUUAUCGAACUAACUACUAAUUAGCUUUAAUUUUGGUCAUCUGGUGAACAAAAAACGACUUCUAUAACAUUGACCAAUAACGUUUGGCCAUUCUGAACAAUUUACACCAGCGAAAGUAAUAAGUGGCAAUAAAAAAUUGUCCACAGAAAGUUUGCCAAUUCAACAAUUUACAGCGAUAUAACUACAUUAGAAGUAUUGCUGUUUGCAUGCCUUCCCAAACGAUUUCACGGGUAUGACGUGAUACACAGAUGCACUCGUUCAGAAGACGCCACUCUUUAAAAGGACUUCAUUUUUUUCAACCGUAUAUUUUUUUUAUUAAAUAACAAGUAAGUUCUAACAAUAGUUAGAUAUUCCAAUAACACUUUAACCCACUAAAAACAUUGGCCUCUUCAAUUUAUUCGUUAAAAAUAAGUCACUUGGCAGUACUAUUAAAACCGGUCUUUUGCUAGUCAUUGGCUCAUUAGCCCCAUUUUUUUUCCUUACUACUCACUUUGCGACGUAACCGAUCUCUCGAUCGACUGACCGGCGGUACUGCCCGUUUUUAACAAUCAUUCAAUGUUUUGCUAUCCGCUGUGUCAAAAACAUGUCUUCCGUGUCAUUUAUACCAUGAUGUCUUCCAAUGAAUGUUCAGCCUUCACAAAGUUCAUACUGCCGUUUAAUCACACUAUAUUGUUAUCACACACCAGGGAAAAUGUAUCACUGACCGGCACAGCGAUAGCACAACAUGAUAACAAAAAGUAUAUGUGGAUGCAUGUUUGAAUACUUGGACACGGAAACAAAUUCGAAUGUCCUACGGACCCAAAUGUUUUGGCCUUUGAAAGUCCAUGGGUUCCGUGGCACGCCUGGGGAAGCAUUACGACACUUGUGUCGCCCAGUGCUACGUGCCUUUUGUACAAAUGUUGUACUGUACAGCUGUAAAUAUGAAUGACUGUUUUGUAUGAUGUAUAUGUUGGGGCAUUGUUUCGGCACAUUUUAAUUCGGUUCUUUUUCUAUUACAGGCCUUGCGUUUCUGUUACCCAUCUGGGAGUGGCCACUAUCUGACUCCCCGAGCAUCGACUACGGAGAAACGCCGAUACGCAUCACAGUCUGCAAAAGCUGGCUGAUGAUAGUCAUGAUGGGAUCGGACGCUCAUCGCCGACCCGUCUGGCUGUCUCAGUCGCUCUGCAUCUGAUCCACGAAUCACACACUGCAACUGCGGACGCCAUCACCGCCUGCAACGGCUGCAACUGCAACCAGCAGGUGGCCUAGGUCCAAAGCCAACGCCUGGCUGACCCACAUGGCCGCCUGCCGUCGCUGCUACCUCAUCUGCUCAUCGUGCCUCGCUGUUCUCCGUCCGUUCGUCCGUCACUGUCGUCGCCCGUGCCAGCCGCCAUCACCAUGGCUGAGCACAACUCGUCGCCCGCCCGCUGUCGAUGAACAACACGGCUACCGGCACCCUCGCUAGCAACACCAAGUUCUGGUACGCUGACGUCUCCGGUAUCAGUGCUGUGCGGCGGCAGCCAACGCCUCGUGAACGGUAAAGGCCACACCGUCACGGCGCACCAUGGCCGCUGCCCCUUCACAACCAGCUCAGACGUCAGCACCCAACAAGCAGAGGUGUCUGGUCCCACGCAUCGACAACGGAACACCAUCGCGGCGACGAUAACAGCGACGACUACAAUGACGAGACAACCAAACCGGAGAGCAGCGACAACAGCAGCAGCAGUAGUAGCAACAACAGGCGUACCAGUACCAGUAGCAGCAGCAGCCGUACCUGCAGUAGCAGCCGUACCUGCAGCAGCAGCCGUACCUGCAGCAGUAGCAGUCGUACCUGGCGUUCCAUGCGCGGUGUCAUACGUGGAUCUAUGCAGUUAGGAUCGUGAUUGCUUAUUGGUCGCCUCCUCUUGUCGGCUUGUUGGGGGAGGAAAGAUAUGUGGAGAAGGAAAUCAUGCCUCCCACUCCCGAUGGAGGCCCCAAAUGUCGGACCCCCCUUUUUUGUAUCUGUCUGGGUGUCUGGGGCGCAUAGCGACACGGGACAGCCGGCUCGCUGGCCGGCUGCCCGUCCGGUCACGUGCUUGCGUCCCGACACCCACCAUAAAACCUAUGUUCUCUAAAUACACUCUCUCACUUCUCCUC